RNAcentral lists this long non-coding RNA (4816 nucleotides) under Sus scrofa (pig). RNAcentral's name for it is "lncRNA (ENSSSCG00000063109.1)". Lineage: Eukaryota; Metazoa; Chordata; Mammalia; Artiodactyla; Suidae. The record is from RNAcentral.
AAUACUAUUCAGCCAUAAAAAGUAAUGACAUCAUGCCAUUUGCAGCAACAUGGAUGGAACUAGAGAAUCUCAUACUGAGUGAAAUGAGCCAGAGAGACAAAGACAAAUACCAUAUGAUAUCACUUAUAACUGGAAUCUAAUAUUCAGCACAAAUGAACAUCUCCUCAGAAAAGAAAAUCAUGGACUUGGAGAAGAGACUUGUGGCUGCCUGAUGGGAGGGGGAGGGAGUGGGAGGGAUCAGGAGCUUGGGCUUAUCAGACACAACUUAGAAUAGAUUUACAAGGAGAUCCUGCUGAAUAGCAUUGAGAACUUUGUCUAGAUACUCAUGUUGCAACAGAAGAAAGGGUGGGGGAAAAAUGUAAUUGUAAUGUAUACAUGUAAGGAUAACCUGACCCCCUUGCUGUACAGUGGGAAAAAAAAAAGAAAUGAAAAGGGAGAGGUAACCAUGGACAUCACAGAAAUACAAAGGAUCAUAAGAGACUACUACAUGCCACUAUAUGCCAAUAAAAUGGGAAACCUAGAAGAAAUGGACAAAUUCUUAGAAAAGUAUCAUCGUCCAUGACUAAACCAAGAUGAAAUAGAAAAGAUGAACAGACCAAUCACAAGUACUGAAAUUGAGAUUUAAAAACUUCCAACAAACCAAAGUCCAGAUGGCUUCACAAGCGAGUUCAAUGUAACAUUUAGAGAAGAGCUAACACCUAUCCUUUUGAAACUAUUGCAAAAACUCACAGAGGCAGGAACACUCCCAAACUCAUUCUGUGAGGCCACCAUUACCCUGAUACCAAAACCACACAAAGAUACCAUAAAAAAAGAAAAUUACAGGCCAAUUUCACUGAUGAACAUAGAUGCAAAAAUCCUCAACAAAAUACUAGAAAACCUAAUUCAACAAUACAUAGAAAGGAUUGCACAAAAUGAUCAAGUGGGAUUUAUCCCAGGGAUGCAAGGAUUCUUCAGUAUCUGCAAAUAAAUCAGUGUUAUACACCACAUUAACAAACUGAGAAUAAAAACCAUGUGAUCCUGUGGUGUUCCCGUCGUGGCUCAGUGGUUACCAAAUCCAACUAGGAACCAUGCAGUUGUGGAUACUAUCCCUGGCCUUCCUCAGUGGGUGAAGGAUCCAGCGUUGCUGUGAGCUGUGGUGUAGGUCACAGACAUGGCUCAGAUCCCAGCAUUGCUGUGGCUCUGGCGUAGGCUGGCGGCUAUAGCUCUGAUUAGACCUCUAGCCUGAGCACCUCCAUAUGCCUCGGGUGUGGCCCUAGAAAAGGCAAAAAGACACACACACACACAUAAUAUGAUCCUCUCAAUAGAUGCAGAAAUCUUUAACAAAAUCCAAUACCCAUUUCUGAUAAAAACCUUUUAGAAAGUGGGCAUAGAGGGUACCUACCUCAACAUAAUAAAGGCCAUAUAUGACAAACCCACAGCUAACAUCAUUCUCAAUGGUGAAAAGCUGAAAGAAUUCCUACUAAGACCAGGAACAAGACAAGGAUGUCCACUCUCGCCACUACUAUUCAACAUAGUUUUGGAAGUCCUAGCCACUGCAAUCAGAGAAGUAAAAGAAAUAAAAGGAAUCCAAAUUGGAAAGGAAGAAGUAAAACUAUGACUAUUUGCAGAUGAUAUGUUACUAAGAGAAUCCUAAAGACUCUACCAAAAAAUUAGAGCUCAUAAUUGAAUUUGGCAAAGUCACAGGAUAUAAAAUUAAUACACAGAAAUGGACUGCAUUUCCAUAUACUAACAACAAAAGAUUAGAAAGAGAAAUUAGGGAAAUAAUCCCACUUACCAUCCCAUCAAAAAGAAUAAAAUACUUAGGAAUAAAGCUACCUAAAAGCAACAAAGGAUCUCUACUCUGAAAACUAUAAGAUGCUUAUGAAAGACAUCAAAGAUGACAAAAACAGAUGGAAAGACAUACCAUGCUCUUGGAUUGGAAGAGUCAAUAUCAUCAAAAUGACUCUACUACCCAAGGCAAUCUACAGAUUCAAUGCAAUCCCUAUCAAAGUACCAAGGACAUUUUUCACAGAACUUGAACAAAAUAUUUUAAAGUUUGUUUGGAAGCACAAAAGACCCAGAAGAGCCAAAGCCAUCCUGAAAAAGAAAAAUGGAGCUGGAGGAAUCAGGCACCCUUCCUUCAGAUUAUACUUCACAGCUGUAGUCAUCAAAACUGUAUGGUACUGGCACAAAGACAAAAAUAUAGAUCAGUGGAACAGGAUAGAAAGCCCAGAAUUAAACCCAUGCACCUACAGUCAACUAAUCUAUGACAAAGGAGGCAAGAAUAUACAAGGGAGAAAAGACAGCACCUUCGGAGACGGGAUUAAGAUGGUGGAAUAGAAGGACUGGAGCUCAACUUCUCUCCUAAAAACAACAAAAUUCACAACUAAAGACUGAGCACACUUCACCAAAAUGGACGGGAAACCUUAAAAAAGGUACCCUACUCCAGGAAAAAAAGAGGAGGCCACAUCAAGAGGUAGGAGGGGCGAUUUCACGAUAUAAACAACCCCAUACCUCCUGGGUGGAAAGCUCCACAGACUGGAAACUAACUGGUUCACAGAGACUCACCUACAGGAGUGAGAGUUCUGAGCCACACAUCAAACUCUCACAUGUGGGGAUCUGGCACUGGGAGAAAGAGCCCCAGAGCAUCUGGCAUUGAAGGCCAGUGGGGCUUGUGCGCAAGAGCUCCACCAGACUAGGGGAAACGGAGACCCCAUUCUUAAAAGGCGCACACAGACUUUCACAUGCACUGAGUCCCAGGGCAAAGCAACAUCUCCAUAGGAAUCUGGGUCAAACCUGACCGCAGUUCUUGGAGAACAUCCUGGGAAAACAGGGGUGAAUGUGUCUUGUUGUGAGGGAAGGACAUUGAAAGCAAAGCUCUCGGGAAUAUUCAGCAGCAGUGCCUUUCUCUGGAGGUGGCCAUUUUGGGAAAAUCUGGCCCCACCCAUCAGCCAGCUGCUGAGAAGCCCCAGGGCAAACAACAACCCAGGUGGGAUCACAGCCCUGUCCCUCAGUAAAUAGGCUACCUAAAGACCCCUCAGGCACACAGCUGCCUCUAAUCCCAGCCAGAGACUAAGCCCCACCCACCAGAGGGAUUAGAAUCGGCUCCUCCUACCAGGGGGCAGGCAUCAGCCCCUCCCAUCAGGAAGCCUACACCAAGCCUCCAUACUGACUUCAGCCACAGGGGGCAGACAUCAGAAGUAAGAGAGGCUACAACUCUAUUAUCUGUAAGAAGGUCACCACACCAAAAACCUAUAAAAACGAAAAGACAGAGAACUGUAACUCAGAUGAGGGAGAAAGAAAAAACCCCAGAAAAACAGCUAAGCCCUGAGGAGAUUCUCAGCCUCCAGGAAAAAAACUUUAGACUGUUGAUGCUGAAGAUGAUGCAAGACAUUGGAAAUAAACUGGAGGCAAAGAUGGAUAACUUACAGGAAACACUGACCAAAGAGAUACAAGAUAUAAAACUGAAACAAGAAGAGAUGCAAAAUACAAUAACUGAAAUAAAAAAUUCACUAGAAGCAGCUAACAGCAGAAUACAGGAGGCAGAAGAACGAAUAAGCGAGGUGGAGGACAGAUUAGUGGAAAUUAUGGAUGCAGAACAGAAAAGAGAAAAAAGAUUGAAAACAAAUGAAGAGAGUCUCAGAGAACUCUGGGACAACGUGAAACGCACCUACAUCCAUAUUAUAGGGGUGCCAGAAGGAGAAGAGAGAGAGAAAGAGACAGAAAAAAUAUCCCAAGAGAUAAUAGCCAAAAACUUCCCUAACAUGGGGAAGGAACCACUCACUCAAAUCUAGGAAGCACAACGAGUACCAUACAAAGUAAACCCAAGGAGGAACACCCUGAGACACAUACUAAUCAAACUGACCAAAAUUAAAGACAAAGAGAAAAUCUUGAAAGCAGCUAGGGAAAAGAAACAAAUAACAUACAAGGAACCCGAUAAGGCUAUCAGCAGAUUUUUCAGCAGAAACUCUGCAGGCCAGAAGGGAGUGGCAUGAUAUCCUCAACGUGAUGAAAGGAAAAAACCUCCAACCAAGAUUACUCUACCCAGCAAGGCUCUCAUUCAGAUUUGAAGGAGAAAUCAAAACCUUCUCAGAUAAGCAAAAGCUGAGAGAAUUCAGCACCACUAAACCAGCCUUACAACAAAUACUAAAGGAACUUCUCUAGGCAGAAAAGAACAAGAGAAGAAGGAAAGGAAAAAGAGCAGCAAAAACAAAUCCAAAGUAAUUAAUAAAAUGGCAAUAAGAACAUACAUAUCAAUAAUUACCUUAAAUGUGAAUGGACUAAACGCCCCAACCAAAAGACAUAGACUGGCUGAAUGGAUACAAAAACAAGACCCAUAUGUAUGCUGUCUUCAAGAGACCCACUUCACUUCUAGGGACACAUACAAAUUGAAAGUGAGAGGAUGGCUGAAAAUAUUUCAUGCAAACGGGGAUCAAAAGAAAGCUGGAGUAGCAAUACUCAUAUCAGAAAAGACAGCCCUUCAAUAAGUGAUGCUGGGAAAACUGGACAGCCACAUGUAAAAGAAUGAAAUUAGAACACUCCCUAUCACCAUACACAAAAAUAAACUCAAAAUGGAUUAAAGACCUAAAUAUAAGACCAGAUACUAUAGAACUCUCAGGGGAAAACAUAGGCCAAACAUUCUCCAACAUAAACCACAGCAAUAUCUUCUCAGAUCCACCUCCUAGAGUAAUGACAAUAAAAACAAAAAUAAACAAAUGGGAUCUAAUUUAAAAGUUUCUGCACAGCAAAGGAAACCUCAAACCAAACAAAAAGACAACCCACAGAAUGGGAGAAAAUCUUUGCAAAUGACAAGGGAUUAAUCUCCAAAAUUUAUAAA